This 380-nucleotide ribosomal RNA is filed under the name uncultured eukaryote. RNAcentral describes it as "partial 18S ribosomal RNA". It matches the Rfam family "Eukaryotic small subunit ribosomal RNA", at positions 592 to 976 of the family's 1831-position model. The record is from RNAcentral.
CAAUAGCGUAUAUUAAAGUUGUUGCAGUUAAAAAGCUCGUAGUUGGAUUUGUGGCGUACGGUGUGUUCCGGGCACUUGUUGUCUGAGUAACCUGCUGUUGCCAUCCUUGGGUGGAACCUGUGUGGCAUUAGGUUGUCGUGCAGGGGAUGCCCAUCAUUUACUGUGAAAAAAUUAGAGUGUUCAAAGCAGGCUUAUGCCGUUGAAUAUAUUAGCAUGGAAUAAUGAGAUAGGACUUUUUUGCUAUUUUGUUGGUUUGCGCAAGAAGGUAAUGAUUAAUAGGGACAGUUGGGGGUAUUCGUAUUCCACUGUCAGAGGUGAAAUUCUUGGAUUUUUGGGAGACGAACUACUGCGAAAGCAUUUACCAAGGAUGUUUUCAUUAA